RNAcentral lists this ribosomal RNA (493 nucleotides) under uncultured bacterium. Its description in RNAcentral is "bacterial SSU rRNA". It matches the Rfam family "Bacterial small subunit ribosomal RNA", at positions 903 to 1397 of the family's 1533-position model. The record is from RNAcentral.
AAAUGAAUAGACGGGGACCCGCACAAGCGGUGGAGCAUGUGGUUUAAUUCGAAGCAACGCGAAGAACCUUACCAGGUCUUGACAUCCCUUGACAACGCUAGAAAUAGCGCGUUCCCUUCGGGGACAAGGUGACAGGUGGUGCAUGGUUGUCGUCAGCUCGUGUCGUGAGAUGUUGGGUUAAGUCCCGCAACGAGCGCAACCCUUAUUAUUAGUUGCCAGCAUUCAGUUGGGCACUCUAGUGAGACUGCCGGUGAUAAACCGGAGGAAGGUGGGGAUGACGUCAAAUCAUCAUGCCCCUUAUGACCUGGGCUACACACGUGCUACAAUGGCAUAUACAACGAGUCGCUAACCCGCGAGGGUACGCUAAUCUCUUAAAGUAUGUCUCAGUUCGGAUUGUAGGCUGCAACUCGCCUACAUGAAGUCGGAAUCGCUAGUAAUCGCGGAUCAGAACGCCGCGGUGAAUACGUUCCCGGGUCUUGUACACACCGCCCGU